Molecule: ribosomal RNA, 1400 nt
Filed under: uncultured bacterium
Lineage: Bacteria
Description: bacterial SSU rRNA
Rfam family: Bacterial small subunit ribosomal RNA
Source: RNAcentral
CUGGCUCAGGACGAACGCUGGCGGCGUGCUUAACACAUGCAAGUCGAACGGGGCGAAGUGAUAGCUUGCUAUUAUGGAGCCUAGUGGCAAACGGGUGAGUAACGCGUAGGCAACCCGCCCUUCAGAUGGGGACAACACCUCGAAAGGGGUGCUAAUACCGAAUGACGUUUCCUGGUCGCAUGACCUGGAAACCGAAGGCCGGGCAACCGGUCACUGAAGGAUGGGCCUGCGUCUGAUUAGCUAGUUGGUGGGGUAACGGCCCACCAAGGCGACGAUCAGUAGCCGGUCUGAGAGGAUGAACGGCCACAUUGGGACUGAGACACGGCCCAAACUCCUACGGGAGGCAGCAGUGGGGAAUCUUCCGCAAUGGGCGCAAGCCUGACGGAGCAACGCCGCGUGAGUGAAGAAGGUUUUCGGAUCGUAAAGCUCUGUUGAGAGGGACGAGAGAUAUAAUCAGGAAAUGGGUUAUAGAGGACGGUACCUUUCGAGGAAGCCACGGCUAACUACGUGCCAGCAGCCGCGGUAAUACGUAUGUCGCAAGCGUUAUCCGGAUUUAUUGGGCGUAAAGCGCGUCUAGGCGGUUUGGUAAGUCUGAUGUGAAAAUGCGGGGCUCAACUCCGUAUUGCGUUGGAAACUGUCAAACUAGAGUACUGGAGAGGUGGGCGGAACUACAAGUGUAGAGGUGAAAUUCGUAGAUAUUUGUAGGAAUGCCGAUGGGGAAGCCAGCCCACUGGACAGAUACUGACGCUAAAGCGCGAAAGCGUGGGUAGCAAACAGGAUUAGAUACCCUGGUAGUCCACGCCGUAAACGAUGAUUACUAGGUGUUGGGGGUCGAACCUCAGCGCCCAAGCUAACGCGAUAAGUAAUCCGCCUGGGGAGUACGUACGCAAGUAUGAAGCUCAAAGGAAUUGACGGGGACCCGCACAAGCGGUGGAGCAUGUGGUUUAAUUCGACGCAACGCGAGGAACCUUACCAGCGUUUGACAUCCUAAGAAAUUAGCAGAGAUGCUUUUGUGCCCCUUCGGGGGAACUUAGUGACAGGUGGUGCAUGGCUGUCGUCAGCUCGUGUCGUGAGAUGUUGGGUUAAGUCCCGCAACGAGCGCAACCCCUUUCGUAUGUUGCCAUCAUUAAGUUGGGCACUCAUGCGAUACUGCCUGCGAUGAGCAGGAGGAAGGUGGGGAUGACGUCAAGUCAUCAUGCCCCUUAUACGCUGGGCUACACACGUGCUACAAUGGGUAGUACAGAGAGUCGCAAACCUGCGAGGGGGAGCUAAUCUCAGAAAACUAUUCUCAGUUCGGAUUGUACUCUGCAACUCGAGUACAUGAAGUUGGAAUCGCUAGUAAUCGCAAAUCAGCUAUGUUGCGGUGAAUACGUUCUCGGGUCUUGCACUCACCGCCCGUA